Molecule: small RNA, 108 nt
Filed under: Klebsiella variicola
Lineage: Bacteria; Pseudomonadati; Pseudomonadota; Gammaproteobacteria; Enterobacterales; Enterobacteriaceae
Description: partial RtT sRNA
Rfam family: RtT RNA
About the family: This family represents a bacterial cis-regulatory element known as RtT RNA. The exact function of RtT is unknown although it is thought that it may be involved in changing the cellular response in relation to amino acid starvation.
Source: RNAcentral
UAUUCUGCCCUACGGGGAAGGAUGAGAAGCUUCGACUAAGGUUCGACUCGAGCGCCAGCGAGAGAACGUUGCCGCAGGCAACGGCCCGAAGGGCGAGGAGCGAUAGCG